This 484-nucleotide ribosomal RNA is filed under the name uncultured bacterium. RNAcentral describes it as "partial 16S ribosomal RNA". It matches the Rfam family "Bacterial small subunit ribosomal RNA", at positions 30 to 507 of the family's 1533-position model. The record is from RNAcentral.
AUUGAACGCUGGCGGCAGGCCUAACACAUGCAAGUCGAGCGGAUGAAGGGAGCUUGCUCCUGGAUUCAGCGGCGGACGGGUGAGUAAUGCCUAGGAAUCUGCCUGGUAGUGGGGGAUAACGUCCGGAAACGGGCGCUAAUACCGCAUACGUCCUGAGGGAGAAAGUGGGGGAUCUUCGGACCUCACGCUAUCAGAUGAGCCUAGGUCGGAUUAGCUAGUUGGUGGGGUAAAGGCCUACCAAGGCGACGAUCCGUAACUGGUCUGAGAGGAUGAUCAGUCACACUGGAACUGAGACACGGUCCAGACUCCUACGGGAGGCAGCAGUGGGGAAGAUUGGACAAUGGGCGAAAGCCUGAUCCAGCCAUGCCGCGUGUGUGAAGAAGGUCUUCGGAUUGUAAAGCACUUUAAGUUGGGAGGAAGGGCAGUAAGUUAAUACCUUGCUGUUUUGACGUUACCAACAGAAUAAGCGCCGGCUAACUUCGUG